CCUAACACAUGCAAGUCGAGCGGUAACAUUUCUAGCUUGCUAGAAGAUGACGAGCGGCGGACGGGUGAGUAACGCGUAGAAAUCUACCUAGUAGUGGGGGAUAGCCCAGAGAAAUUUGGAUUAAUACCGCAUACGCCCUACGGGGGAAAGCGGGGGAUCUUCGGACCUCGUGCUAUUAGAUGAGUCUGCGUCGGAUUAGCUUGUUGGUGAGGUAAUGGCUCACCAAGGCGACGAUCCGUAGCUGGUCUGAGAGGAUGACCAGCCACACUGGAACUGAGACACGGUCCAGACUCCUACGGGAGGCAGCAGGUGGGGAAUAUUGCACAAUGGGCGCAAGCCUGAUGCAGCCAUGCCGCGUGUGUGAAGAAGGCCGUUAGGGUUGUAAAGCUACUUUCAGCAGUGAGGAAAGGGGUGUCGUUAAUAGCGCCAUCCUGUGACGUUAGCUGCAGAAGAAGGACCGGCUAACUCCGUG
This 472-nucleotide ribosomal RNA is filed under the name uncultured bacterium. RNAcentral describes it as "bacterial SSU rRNA". It matches the Rfam family "Bacterial small subunit ribosomal RNA", at positions 47 to 507 of the family's 1533-position model. The record is from RNAcentral.